AUUGAACGCUGGCGGCAGGCCUAACACAUGCAAGUCGAGCGGAUGAAGGGAGCUUGCUCCUGGAUUCAGCGGCGGACGGGUGAGUAAUGCCUAGGAAUCUGCCUGGUAGUGGGGGAUAACGUCCGGAAACGGGCGCUAAUACCGCAUACGUCCUGAGGGAGAAAGUGGGGGAUCUUCGGACCUCACGCUAUCAGAUGAGCCUAGGUCGGAUUAGCUAGUUGGUGGGGUAAAGGCCUACCAAGGCGACGAUCCGUAACUGGUCUGAGAGGAUGAUCAGUCACACUGGAACUGAGACACGGUCCAGACUCCUACGGGAGGCAGCAGUGGGGAAUAUUGGACAAUGGGCGAAGGCCUGAUCCAGCCAUGCCGCGUGUGUGAAGAAGGUCUUCGGAUCGUAAAGCACUUUAAGUUGGGAGGAAGGGCAGUAAGUUAAUACCUUGCUGUUUUGACGUUACCAACAGAAUAAGCACCGGCUAACUUCGUG
Molecule: ribosomal RNA, 484 nt
Filed under: uncultured bacterium
Lineage: Bacteria
Description: partial 16S ribosomal RNA
Rfam family: Bacterial small subunit ribosomal RNA
Source: RNAcentral